AAGAUAUUAGGCAAAUACAAACCAAAAACUUUGUUUUUAAUAUUAUUUAAAGCUGAUUUUAGAGCAAAAGAAUUAAGUCAAGCAAAGAAGGUAAAUGCAUUAAAUUCUAUAAGCCAAAUAAUAUAGUACCUACAUUCAUAAAUCAAAUUAAUAAUUACUAUAAGAAGAAAUAUACAGAAGUCCAUUAUUCUCAGAAACCUUUAUUUCACAUGUCUCAGCCCAGGACAGAUCAAGUGACCAGAGAGAUCUAACUAGUACAGCGAGGCACACCGCCGCAGCGACGGGACGCACCGCGCAGGUGACCUGCCGGGUUCUGUCAGACGGUCCUCCCCGACUCACUUGUCACCUGGAUGGAAGGAAGCCCCUGGCGCAACCUUCCUGAAACCCGCGGGCCAGCCCCUCUCCCCAGCUGCACUGCAGUCCAGCCAGACCCAUGCAGGUGACACUGGGCUGUCCACACAGAACGUCGGGUGCGUGGAUGAGGAUCCCAGUCGCACACAGCCAGAAGGGAGGGUAAUGAGGUUCCUAUUGGGCAGCUUCGUCCUUUCCCUGGGUUUCCUUCCCUGAGAAUGACCUCAGGUCCCACCGCCUCUUUCCCUACAAGACCUGUGACAAUUCCUCCCCAAAUCCACUUUGCAGAACCCACUCAGAGCCUCGCAGUGACACCCACCUUCCCCGGGGUGGGUCUCAUCUCCCAGGGCAGGCAGAUUGCACCCCCAGACAUACACGCCCAGGUCUGCCUUCUUAGGAGGCCUUUGCCUGGACAGGGUCUAAACUGGGCUUUUUCCAAAAGGUUUUUAUAGAAAUCCUAUACCUAGUACCCAUUGCAACUCUGAGUCUACAGUUCUACAGAAGCUACAAAAAUGAACCGAACUUUACCUCCACUUGAGAUGGGGAAGCCAGGUCCCUGGAAGAACGGGUGUCCCGUUCAGUCCUCAAAGCCGAUGGGCGGUCAGCCUGUCCUCAGCCCGUCCUUAGACUUAGAGCCUGACCUUCUGACCAUGAAAGAGCACCUCCCAGUGAGCACCGCCUUUCUGAUUAAAUUGGCUCCUUCAUCUUUAUUUUCUCACUGAUACACUGAAGCUAUACUUUAUCCUGGAAAAUUCAAGUGGCUGCUCUGGGGACGCAGGCUGUGAAUGUGUACACACUGUGUGUUUCUUAGAAGAAAGAGCUCUAAUCAAUUCAAGGCGUCACUCUACCAAGAUCGAGUUUUGACCCUGAUACAUGUCAGUGACUAAUGUCAUGCGUUUCAAAGCAAAAUGUAGCCCGAUAUUGUCUGGGUAAACCAGGCAUGUAAAUUAACUCAGCCGUAAAACCUUCUUAAAAAUUUUAAAAGAGACAGGCCUUGGCAAGUCAUUAAACUGCAGAACAGCCU
RNAcentral lists this long non-coding RNA (1375 nucleotides) under Bos indicus x Bos taurus (hybrid cattle). RNAcentral describes it as "lncRNA (ENSBIXG00000006821.1)". Lineage: Eukaryota; Metazoa; Chordata; Mammalia; Artiodactyla; Bovidae. The record is from RNAcentral.